This is a long non-coding RNA of Ochotona curzoniae (black-lipped pika), 320 nucleotides long. RefSeq lists it as uncharacterized. The record is from RefSeq and is a predicted model, not a curated record. NCBI's taxonomy places the organism in Eukaryota, Metazoa, Chordata, Mammalia, Lagomorpha, Ochotonidae. The transcript is spliced from 3 exons.
UCAUCCAAGAACUUUUGAAGAAAUGGAGUUGGGAAUGAGGAGCUGAAGUAAUAUGCACCAGAAAAUCAAAAUUAUCUCUGUAAAUAUGGAGAUAUGGAAACUCUUCAAAAUCAAUCAAGCCGUUUGGGAAUCGGCUGUGGAAGCCUGAGCGAAACUGCCUCCCGGUCAUGUGGUCCCACCUUCCAAAAGGAUGGUUUCUGACGAGGGAGGCAAAUCAGCGCCAAACCCAUCACCCAGAUUGGCGCUCCCCCUGCACAGGCCGCCUCCGCCCUCCCUCUCCGGGAGGGUCCAGGGCCCCGGAGCGGCGGGCGGGCUGCGCG